This 723-nucleotide ribosomal RNA is filed under the name Triticum aestivum (bread wheat). RNAcentral's name for it is "partial small subunit ribosomal RNA". Lineage: Eukaryota; Viridiplantae; Streptophyta; Magnoliopsida; Poales; Poaceae. The record is from RNAcentral.
AUGUCACCAACAGCCUGCUACUCCGUCUCGGUGCAUGAGGACGACAUCAACAACAACGACACCUACACCAUGGAGGUGCCCAUGACCAAGGAUGACAUGUUCCUGACCAAUCUAGUACUGCCAGCAGUUUCACAUGUCUACCCCCUGAAAUUGUUCGUCGACCGUCAGCUUCAGGCACACAAUCACUCUCAGUUGCAUCAAGGACCAACAUCAAUUUCAUCAUUGGAUGGUUGGGCAAUUGAUUCUAUCUUGUCUUCACUUCCUUGUAGUCCUGAUGGUUGCUCGCAUAGAAACAAAACCCAAUUGCUCAUUGGCAUCUAUGUUGCUAGUAGUGAUUCACCAAGGGACCCUGAACAACAAGCAUCCAUGUCCUUGUUGGGUGUUGGGGUGACAAAAAAUUCAUCGAACGACAAUGUCAAGGACAACCAAAACCUGUUUUCAGAUGGGAGAUUGUCUGGUUGUUCUACUUGGAAUAUCCUGAUAUUGGUCACAAGUUCUAGUCACAAUUGUGUCCAGCAAGCAAAGAAAGUUGUAUUCAACGCACUGGAAUCAACACAAGCCAGUACUCAUGUAUUUUGCCACAGCAGGAAGAAAGUUGUACCAUUGGUCACACGACAGUUGUCGAUUCCUGAGUCUGAUGCUAGUAUAUUGUUGCUGGAAGGACUACCUCGAUCUUCUAUUCACUUGACAGUGGGGUCAUCUAGCGCUGGAUCAGCCUGUUAA